GGAUGUGAGGGUGAUCUGGCUGUGACAUCUGUCACCCCAUUGAUUGCCAGGGUUGAUUUGGCUGAUCUGGCUGGCUAGGCGAGUGUCCCCUUCCUCCCUCACCGCUCCAAGAGUGUCCCUCUCAAAGCUGUAUGCUCAGUGGAAGAAGACGGUGGAAGAGGAUGGCCUUCCAGGAAACAGAGAUGGACGGGUCUUAGGUCUUCAGUUGAGGGUACAAAAGAAGCUGCGCUCCCCUGCUAGGAUCUUCAUUCAUGCUCUGAAGAGUAACUCUAUACUAUGUAUCUGAAGCAACAGGGGGAGGCAGUAUGAGCUCUUUGGAUAUGGCAAGUUUUUGCUGUUUC
This 341-nucleotide small nuclear RNA is filed under the name Sorex araneus (European shrew). RNAcentral describes it as "7SK RNA (ENSSARG00000018257.1)". It matches the Rfam family "7SK RNA". Rfam says of the family: 7SK was discovered as an abundant small nuclear RNA in the mid-70s but a possible function has only recently been suggested. Two independent studies have found that 7SK RNA binds the CDK9/cyclin T complex (known as elongation factor P-TEFb). P-TEFb activates transcription by phosphorylating the C-terminal domain of RNA polymerase II. Lineage: Eukaryota; Metazoa; Chordata; Mammalia; Eulipotyphla; Soricidae. The record is from RNAcentral.